GGAAGGUCGGCGGCGGACGGGCGCCUUGCCAACCCGGUCAGAUCCGGAAGGAAGCAGCCGCAGUGAGUUUCGCCCGGGUCGUCGUUCGGCCUUCCACC
This 98-nucleotide signal recognition particle RNA is filed under the name Acetobacter nitrogenifigens DSM 23921 = NBRC 105050. RNAcentral's name for it is "Bacterial small signal recognition particle RNA". It matches the Rfam family "Bacterial small signal recognition particle RNA". From Rfam's summary of the family: The signal recognition particle (SRP) is a universally conserved ribonucleoprotein involved in the co-translational targeting of proteins to membranes. Archaeal SRP consists of a 7S RNA and homologues of the eukaryotic SRP19 and SRP54 proteins. In most bacteria, the SRP consists of a 4.5S RNA and the Ffh protein (a homologue of the eukaryotic SRP54 protein). Lineage: Bacteria; Pseudomonadati; Pseudomonadota; Alphaproteobacteria; Acetobacterales; Acetobacteraceae. The record is from Rfam by way of RNAcentral. RNAcentral also lists the same sequence under 1 other name.